UACAUAUGAUGCUUUACAAAUCGAUUAGUCUUGAAGACACAACUAUGUGGUUAAAUUUUUAUACUUGUAUACUGA
RNAcentral lists this small nucleolar RNA (75 nucleotides) under Schizosaccharomyces pombe (fission yeast). RNAcentral describes it as "partial snR83 small nucleolar RNA". The record is from RNAcentral. Lineage: Eukaryota; Fungi; Ascomycota; Schizosaccharomycetes; Schizosaccharomycetales; Schizosaccharomycetaceae.